Haemorhous mexicanus (house finch) is the source of this 4184-nucleotide long non-coding RNA. RefSeq lists it as uncharacterized. NCBI's taxonomy places the organism in Eukaryota, Metazoa, Chordata, Aves, Passeriformes, Fringillidae. The transcript has 4 exons. The record is from RefSeq and is a predicted model, not a curated record.
UACAGGAGAAAAAGAAGAAGAAACCUGAGAGAGAGAUGCUAUUGAGUUGUUGAGGCUUUCAAAUCUCCUGGCAUCUUCUAUUUUAUUUAUAGCUCCUCUGUGACUAAAUAUUAUUUUUCAAUUACUAUAUUGUGUUUUUUUCAGUUGGGCUUCUUAUCCUUUCUUCGAAGCAAUGUGACCACAUAGUAAACUGUUUUUGAGGAGUGUUUGCUGUUUGAGGUUACGAGAUGAAACCACAGAGUUCCUUAUCUUGUCUUUCUGCAUCUGUUUUUACAUGAGCUAGCAGAGCAAAAGAGCGAAGCAGUAACAACCGAAAACUCCUUUUUCUCCUCUCCCCACCCAUAUUUUUGAAGCCACAGGAGAAGUCCCCUGUAGGAUCCAGCUGCUGGCUCUCUCUGGUUUUUUUUCUGUCUGCAGACCAGGAAGUGCCCAGCCAUUUCAAGGAUCCUUGGGCAGACAGCACAAAGCUGCCUCUUGGGCUCUCUUCCCACAUGUUCAUCACACUCAACCAGCCCUGUAGGAAAACAAAAUCUGCCCCAAAGCACCUGGAGCACCUGGGAUGCCAAGGAGGAGGAGGCAGUGGAGGAAGCCAUGAGCACAGGAGCUGAAGCAUGUUCUGGCAGAGACCAAGUCAACAGCACACAUCUGACUAGGUAGCCUCUUCUCCCUAAGCUCAUGGCUGGAUUUUGGAGACAACACAAUUUUUCUGGCAUGAAAUGACUUCCUCAAUCAACAGAUUGAUUUCUGAGCAAAAACAUUUGUAAUAUCAAUCUCUGAGGGACAUUCAUUGUUUGUGCACAGCCUCCAGCAAAUCACAUGGAAAUUUUGCCUGAGAAACAGAAUUAGUGUCAUUAUCUAGAGACCCAACUUGAAAAGAUAGCUCUGAUAAUGACAUAGGUUUAGUGCUGCCUCUCGGAAACUCCAACUUUAAUAAGAUGGCCGGGGGAGCUGUUUAGACAAACAUUUCCUGCUGGCAGAAGCCAUUUCUGAAUCACUUGUCAAGCUCCAGGAGGCUGGUAUGAACCCCAGAGUGGAAAGCUGCUGGCACCCGACAGAGCCACAUAUAAGGAAUGUCACAGUGGAAAGUUUUCAGGACACACUGCAAGCUGUGCUGGCUCCAUCCUGCAGACAGGUAAGAAGCUAUUCCAGCUUUCCAUGAGGACAGUCACAGCUGAGGAACGGUUGGUUAUCUCUGAUGGACACGGCAGCUGGAGGAGGUGUCUGCAACCCAGGAUAACUGGUAGCAGAAAGGAAGCAGCAUGCACAAGGUCUCAGCAGUGGGAAAAGAUGGGCACCCCUUCUCAUCCGCAACUUGCAAAUUAUUUUACCACAAAUGAGGUGAGAAACUUCAUGGGCCGAGAAAAAAGUUACCUCAAAGAAAAAUCUGAUUCGGUAUUAGGAAAAAAACCCAAACAAUGUUGGAAGAGAUUCCCCAGAAGAGCUGUGGAAUUUUUGUUGUUGUAGGUUUCCAAAACUCAGGUGGACACAUCCGGAGUGAUCUGCCCUCAUGCUGAGAUUAGCCCAGCUCUGAGUGAGAAGCUGGAGCACACAACCUCGCCAGGUCCCUUAAAGGUUCAGUCAUUCUACAUCUAUGCUACUUUGUCCCUGCAAUCAUGUGAUGAAUGCCAGGCCAGGAGAUAACAAGUCUCAGGUUUUCCCAAGCGUGAUCUUGUAUCCUUACCCACAUUUGCUGUGCUGGUGGUGCAGGUCAUCACCUCCCAUUCCAGGCACGUGCCAUCAGAGGCACAGCACCCAACCCUUCUAGGAAAAAUCCUUGGCUUCUCAAAUAAUAGUUUCAAGCAUGCAUUUGAACCAGCCUGGGGUUGAAGGACUGGUAUCACACCACCCAAGGUCAGGCAGAGACCCAAGGCAGCACCAGUCUGGGGGCACAGCGAGUUGUUUGUCCAACACAACCACAUGCUGCUGCGGCGUCAAUACACGGAGCAUGUCUGAGCACAGCCCAGGCCGCUGCACACCGGGGUUCUGUGUCAGAGUGUGCAGCACAAACAGGCACCAAGCACAGGUCACUUCGUGUUUGGGUCUGUUUUCAUCCCCUGAUGCUUCAGGUCAGCAGGUGUCACAGCCUGGAAAAUGACUUUUCAGAAUCAGUGCAACAAAGGCUGCUCAAGAAACAAUUAAGCCUUAGAUCAGCCUCACAUCUUUUAAAAGCUAGUUGGUCAAAAUCAAAAGCCAGAGGAUUGUGUAUGUUUGUCAUUUCAACGCAGCAGUAAGUAUUUUAAUGUGCAAUGAAUCAUUACUCACAGAAUGACAGAAUAUGCUGAGUUGGAAGGGACCCCAGGGAUCACUGAGUCCAACUCCCAGCCCUGCUCAGCACCAUCCCCAAGAACUACACCACAUGCCUAAGAGUAUUGUCCAAAUGUUUCUUGAGCUCUGUCAGGCGGGUGCUGUGACCACUUCCCUGGCGAGCUGUUCUAGGGCCCAACCACCUCUGGGUGAAGAACCUUUUCCUAAUGUCCAACCUGAACCUCCCCUGGCACAGCUUCAGGCCAUUCCCUCAGAUCCUGUCACUGGUCAGGGAAGAGAUCAGUGCCUGCCCCUACUUUUCCCCUCACAAGGAACUUGGGGACUGCAAGGUCUCCCCUCUGUCUCCUCCAGGCAGAACAGACCAAGAGACUUCAGCUGCUCUCAUAUGGCUUCUCCUCCAGGCCAUUAAAUGCAGAGCCUGGGAGGCUAUAGGUUUGGGCUGGGCAGAGCCAACCAACCAGAAGCAAUGCUAUUAUUGCAUGAUUCCAGUUUUUAAACAACUCUCCUGUCCUUUGCUAUGCUCCUGGUGAAGUUCUGAUGUAGUAGACUGGAGAUGGGACCAUUACUGCCGCUGGUUAUUUUUGCUGGAAACGGCUGUUGAUAUUUUUUCAGUCUCAUUAACUUAGCCAGCAGUUUCUGGAAAACAGAAAAGUCAGUGCUUUCUCUUGACCCUUCAAAACACAACCUAAGCUUUAGGAAGCCUGUUGUUGGAGAGUUCUGGAUCCACAGUCCUGCCCCUACUGUUGGGGCCACUGAGAAAGCACUGCUGGCAGUAGGGUGGCCGUGCCCCUGGUACCUGUGUUCCAGCUCCAGGGAAGCAAUCUUCUACAAAGCAGUUGGUGCCAAACACUGCCCAGGCUGCAGAGCUGUAAUAAAAAGCCCUCCAGGUUCUUUUGGGGUGAGUGAAUGAACACCACUGCCUCUGAACUAAAUGCUACUUCUAAGAGGCUCAGUAGAGCUGUAGCAUUCUAUAACCCCAAUCUGAACACUGUUUCUCCUCACCCAUCUGCACAGCUGAAAGAGAGUGGCCCCUUGCCUUCCCCAUUUUUGUAAACAAGGCUGCAACCUUUAUUCCUGCCUUGAGGAACGGAUUGAAUUGCUUUUGAUGAUCCAGAACAAUGUCAUCCUUUAUUCCCUCUUCAAAAGCAAUUAGUAUUUCAGCUUGAUUAUUUGCAGAUAAUAUGAGUCACCAGAUAAAACACACUGAAUACAAAAUGCUCCUUGGGAGGGAAAGAGAUAAAUGGUAUUUAAGGUUAAAAAUCCAGCAUAUGCUUAAAUAUCACAAAACUGUCACAUAUCAAGGAAAAAAAUUCAGUCCCACUUCAUGAAACAGAAAGAUUGAUCCUAUGUUUGUUUAACCCCAAACUCUUAAUUAAUUUGUUGCAGGAUCAGGGCACCAUGACACCAAAGGCAGAUUGUGUCACUGUCACAGCACAAGAAUAAGUUUAAUGCAACAUGAUUUCAGAGUUGUCAAACUACCCAAAAUUCCAGGCCAAAUAUGUCAUUUAAUCUUCAAAAGACAAUUUUGGAAUUUUCUUCUCUUAUUUCUUUUCUGAUUUCUAGACUGGUGUAUUGCAGCUCGUUGGUAUUUUCAGCUCUUUUACCCAGAAACCCAAGGCUAGAAGCUGACUCAUUCUUAAUAGAAUGUACAAAUCUCACAGGAGCAGCAUUAUUUCAGGAACUCACAUUUUAAUGGGAACAUCAAAUCUAUCUGGCAUUAUGAUAAGGUCAUCAGAAAUUAGCAAUACUGAAGGUUUAUCCUGGGUUUGCUUCUAACACAGAUGAUGGCUGAUACAUCCCUUCUCUGUACUGAUGCUGCCAAGUAGCUUCAUUGGUAAACUUUGAAAUAUAUACAUAAAAAUGGAGUUUUGUGAAAAUUUAGACCAAAAAUAAAAUUUGCUUUUCUCUUUUUCUGAAAA